GGGGAAUAUUGCACAAUGGGGGAAACCCUGAUGCAGCGACGCCGCGUGAAGGAUGAAGGUUUUCGGAUCGUAAACUUCUUUGAUCGGGGACGAAAUUUGACGGUACCGAAGAACAAGCCACGGCUAACUACGU
This 133-nucleotide ribosomal RNA is filed under the name uncultured bacterium. RNAcentral describes it as "partial 16S ribosomal RNA". It matches the Rfam family "Bacterial small subunit ribosomal RNA", at positions 356 to 506 of the family's 1533-position model. The record is from RNAcentral.